GACGAACGCUGGCGGCGUGCUUAACACAUGCAAGUCGAACGGACAGGCCCUGCUUUUGUGGGGUGCUCGAGUGGCGAACGGGUGAGUAACACGUGAGUAACCUGCCCUUGUCUUUGGGAUAACUUCAGGAAACUGGGGCUAAUACCGGAUAGGAGCUCCUGCUGCAUGGUGGGGGUUGGAAAGUUUCGGCGGUUGGGGAUCGACUCGCGGCUUAUCAGCUUGUUGGUGGGGUAGUGGCUUACCAAGGCUUUGACGGGUAGCCGGCCUGAGAGGGUGACCGGCCACAUUGGGACUGAGAGACGGCCCAGACGCCUACGGGAGGCAGCAGGGGGGAAUAUGGCACAAUGGGCGGAAGCCUGAUGCAGCAACGCCGCGUGCGGGAUGACGGCCUUCGGGUUGUAAACCGCUUUCGCCUGUGACGAAGCGUGAGUGACGGUAAUGGGUAAAGAAGCACCGGCUAACUACGUG
RNAcentral lists this ribosomal RNA (468 nucleotides) under uncultured bacterium. RNAcentral's name for it is "partial 16S ribosomal RNA". It matches the Rfam family "Bacterial small subunit ribosomal RNA", at positions 28 to 507 of the family's 1533-position model. The record is from RNAcentral.